This is a small nuclear RNA of Lemur catta (Ring-tailed lemur), 108 nucleotides long. Lineage: Eukaryota; Metazoa; Chordata; Mammalia; Primates; Lemuridae. The record is from RefSeq and is a predicted model, not a curated record.
GUGCUCACUUUGGUAAGCUCAUCCACUAAAACUGGAAUGAUUAAGAGAAAAUAUGUACGGUUCUUCUACAAGGAAGAAAUGCAAAGUCAUGACGUAGUCUAUAUAUUU